RNAcentral lists this ribosomal RNA (1472 nucleotides) under bacterium enrichment culture clone B88(2011). RNAcentral describes it as "16S ribosomal RNA". It matches the Rfam family "Bacterial small subunit ribosomal RNA". The record is from RNAcentral.
UUAGAGUUUGAUCAUGGCUCAGAACGAACGCUGGCGGCAUGCUUAACACAUGCAAGUCGAACGGCUCCGGGGCUUGCCCCGGGGCAGUGGCAGACGGGUGAGUAACACGUGGGAACGUACCCCUCGGUUCGGAAUAACGGCCGGAAACGGCCGCUAAUACCGGAUACGUCCGUGUCCUUGGAGGGCGCGGAGAAAGGUUUACCGCCGAGGGAGCGGCCCGCGUACGAUUAGGUAGUUGGUGGGGUGAGAGCCUACCAAGCCGAUGAUCGUUAGCUGGUCUGAGAGGAUGAACAGCCACACCGGGACUGAGACACGGCCCGGACUCCUACGGGAGGCAGCAGUGGGGAAUUUUGGACAAUGGGGGAAACCCUGAUCCAGCAAUGCCGCGUGAGUGAAGAAGGCCUUCGGGUUGUAAAGCUCUUUUGUCCGUGACGAUGAUGACGGUAACGGACGAAUAAGUCCCGGCUAACUUCGUGCCAGCAGCCGCGGUAAUACGAAGGGGACUAGCGUUGUUCGGAAUAACUGGGCGUAAAGGGCGCGUAGGCGGUGCCGUGCGUCAGAUGUGAAAGCCCCCGGCUCAACCGGGGAAUGCCAUCUGAUACGGCGGCACUAGAGAACAAGAGGGGAGAACGGAAUUGCGUGUGGAGAGGUGAAAUUCGCAGAUAUACGCAGGAACACCGGCGGCGAAGGCGGUUCUCUGGCUUGGUUCUGACGCUGAGGCGCGAAAGCGUGGGGAGCAAACAGGAUUAGAUACCCUGUAGUCCACGCCGUAAACGAUGAGUGCCGGAUGUCGGGGGGAGACCCUCGGUGUCGCAGCAAACGCGUUAAGCACUCCGCCUGGGGAGUACGGUCGCAAGAUUAAAACUCAAAGGAAUUGACGGGGACCCGCACAAGCGGUGGAGUAUGUGGUUUAAUUCGAAGCUACGCGCAAAACCUUACCGGCCCUUGACAUGGGACGUUAGGAACCGGAGACGGUUCCGUCACUUCGGGUGGCGUCCGCACAGGUGCUGCAUGGCUGUCGUCAGCUCGUGUCGUGAGAUGUUGGGUUAAGUCCCGCAACGAGCGCAACCCCCGCCGUCAGUUGCCACCGGGUAAAGCCGGGCACUCUGACGGGACUGCCGGUGACAAGCCGGAUGAAGGUGGGGAUGACGUCAAGUCCUCAUGGCCCUUACGGGCCGGGCUACACACGUACUACAAUGGCGGCUACAAAGGGUCGCGAAGGGGCAACCCGGAGCAAAUCCCGUAAAGGCCGCCUCAGUUCGGAUUGUCCUCUGCAACUCGAGGGCAUGAAGUCGGAAUCGCUAGUAAUCGCGGAUCAGCAUGCCGCGGUGAAUACGUUCUCGGGUCUUGUACACACUGCCCGUCACACCAUGGGAACCGGUUUUACCUUAAGCCGGCAGGCUGACCUUCGGGGGGCCGCCGACCACGGUAGGGUCGAUGACUGGGGUGAAGUCGUAACAAGGUAACCGUAG